UAGGGCCAAAAUGCAACUAAGCAGUCAUACGCUCAAGAUGCCCCUAAGAUCACCUUUAAGAAGCCCCUAGCACUCUCGAUUAAUUUACUCCCACGAAAGCCAGGGUACAAACUGGGAUUAGAUACCCCACUAUGCCUUGCCCUAAAUCUUGAUGCUUCCUACACCAAGCAUCCGCCCGAGAACUACGAGCACAAACGCUUAAAACUCUAAGGACUUGGCGGUGCCCCAAACCCACCUAGAGGAGCCUGUUCUAUAAUCGAUAACCCACGAUGCACCCGACCACCCCUCGCCAGAGCAGCCUACAUACCGCCGUCGCCAGCCCACCUUCAUUGAAAGUGCAACAGUGAGCAAAACAGCUAAACCCACUAACAAGACAGGUCAAGGUAUAGCCCAUGGGGUGGAAGAAAUGGGCUACAUUACCUAAAAUAGGUCAUCCACGAAAAAGGGUGUGAAAUCGCCCUUAGAAGGAGGAUUUAGCAGUAAACUGGGAUAAUAAAGCCCAUUUUAAGAUGGCCCUGGAGCACGUACAUACCGCCCGUCACCCUCC
RNAcentral lists this ribosomal RNA (547 nucleotides) under Rhinoptilus chalcopterus. RNAcentral's name for it is "partial 12S ribosomal RNA". It matches the Rfam family "Bacterial small subunit ribosomal RNA", at positions 656 to 1405 of the family's 1533-position model. Lineage: Eukaryota; Metazoa; Chordata; Aves; Charadriiformes; Glareolidae. The record is from RNAcentral.